Molecule: microRNA, 21 nt
Filed under: Taeniopygia guttata (zebra finch)
Lineage: Eukaryota; Metazoa; Chordata; Aves; Passeriformes; Estrildidae
Description: Tgu-Mir-204-P4_3p* (star (passenger))
Source: RNAcentral
GCUGGGACGGCCAAGGGAGGC